Long non-coding RNA from Acipenser ruthenus (sterlet), 609 nucleotides. RefSeq lists it as uncharacterized. The transcript is spliced from 2 exons. Lineage: Eukaryota; Metazoa; Chordata; Actinopteri; Acipenseriformes; Acipenseridae. The record is from RefSeq and is a predicted model, not a curated record.
GCCAGCGGGAGUGUGAAGGUGCAGCACAUUAUAAAAGUGUCAUUAAGCUGCCAUUAACACCCUUUAAAGGAAGACUACAAAAACAGAACAAGGGGCACAGCGUGUCUGCGGUAUCGUUGUGUUCCGGAUAGGAUAUCAUCUUAUACUGUAAGUUUGCUAUAUCGACACUACAGUAUAGAUGAUGUACUACCCAGGGCUUCAUUCAGCAGCGUCAGUGCAGCGCAGUGCGGAGGAAACAGAGAGGCGGCGAUGAUCUCAGGGAGUUGUGAUCAAACCGUUACCAUUACUGAGCUUUAGUAAUGGUAAGGGUUACUUUGCUUCUUCUCACAGCGACGGCAUGACAAAGUCCUGAUACCUGCGUUAUCUGUUUCCAUUCCUAAUUUUGCUGAAAUUGUGUUUUUUUUUUUUAUGAAUGUAUUAAACUUCGGUGGACAUGGCUAACGUUGAUUCAUUAGCUGUAGUUUAUUUUACAAUCCAGUUUUCAGUCUAUUUUGGUCAUUAAUAACAGGGGGGUAGAAAAGCUUUAGGCAUGUUUUUCAAAUAGGAGUUGGCUACGACUUACAAUGCAAGAAACUUACUCUGUACGGAAUAAAAACUUUUCAAACAUUA